Molecule: ribosomal RNA, 376 nt
Filed under: uncultured eukaryote
Lineage: Eukaryota
Description: partial 18S ribosomal RNA
Rfam family: Eukaryotic small subunit ribosomal RNA
Source: RNAcentral
CAAGAGCGUAUAUUAAAGUUGCUGCGGUUAAAAAGCUCGUAGUUGGAUUUCAGUCUAGGAAGGUUAACUCGCCGAAAGGUUGUACGUUGAUUUUCCUCAGACUUCGUCAGAAGCUCGUGCUGCACUUAACUGUGUGGUACGAUGUUCUGACCUUUUACCUUGAGGAAAGUAGAGUGUUUCAGGCAGGCUACCCAGCUUGAAUACAUUAGCAUGGAAUAAUGAAAUGGAUCUCGGUUCGAUUUCGUUGGUUCUAGAGCUGAGGUGAUGAUCAAUAGGAACAGGCGAAGGUAUUCGUACUUGAGAGUGAGGAGUGAAAUCCGAUGAUCUCUUAAAGACGAUCCGAGGCGAAAGCAUUUGUCAAGGAUGUUUUCAUUGA